AGGACGAACGCUGGCGGCGCGCCUAACACAUGCAAGUCGAACGAGCGAGAGAGAGCUUGCUUUCUCGAGCGAGUGGCGAACGGGUGAGUAACGCGUGAGGAGCCUGCCUCAAAGAGGGGGACAACAGUUGGAAACGACUGCUAAUACCGAAUAAGUUCCAAGAGCCGCAUGGCCCAUGGAAGAAAAGGUGGCCUCUACUUGUAAGCUAUCGCCUGAAGAGGGGUUUGCGUCUGAUUAGGCAGUUGGUGAGGUAACGGCCCACCAAACCUACGAUCAGUAGCCGGUCUGAGAGGAUGAACGGCCACACUGGAACUGAGACACGGUCCAGACUCCUACGGGAGGCAGCAGUGGGGAAUAUUGCACAAUGGGGGAAACCCUGAUGCAGCGACGCCGCGUGAGUGAUGAAGUAUUUCGGUAUGUAAAACUCUAUCAGCAGGGAAGAUAAUGACGGUACCUGACUAAGAAGCACCGGCUAAAUACGUG
RNAcentral lists this ribosomal RNA (483 nucleotides) under uncultured bacterium. RNAcentral's name for it is "bacterial SSU rRNA". It matches the Rfam family "Bacterial small subunit ribosomal RNA", at positions 26 to 507 of the family's 1533-position model. The record is from RNAcentral.